Molecule: ribosomal RNA, 916 nt
Filed under: Pachyphlodes marronina
Lineage: Eukaryota; Fungi; Ascomycota; Pezizomycetes; Pezizales; Pezizaceae
Description: eukaryotic LSU rRNA
Rfam family: Eukaryotic large subunit ribosomal RNA
Source: RNAcentral
GACCUCAAAUCAGGUAGGGAUACCCGCUGAACUUAAGCAUAUCAAUAAGCGGAGGAAAAGAAACCAACAGGGAUUGCCUUAGUAACGGCGAGUGAAGCGGCAAAAGCUCAGAUUUGAAAUCUGGUGUUAUUUUGACACCCGAGUUGUAAUCUGUAGAGGAGUUUUCGGAGUAUGGCUUUGGUUAAAGUUCCUUGGAAAAGGGCAUCAUAGAGGGUGAGAAUCCUGUUUAUGACCAUAGUACUUCUCUAUAUGAAUCUCCUUCAAUGAGUCGAGUUGUUUGGGAAUGUUAUGCACAAUGAAAGUAAAUGGAGGUGGGAACCAUUAGGUGCACCAUCGACCGAUCCUGAAGUUUUCUGAUGGAUUUGAGUAGGAGCAUAGCUGUUGGGACCCGAAAGAUGGUGAACUAUGCCUGAAUAGGGUGAAGCCAGAGGAAACUCUGGUGGAGGCUCGCANGCGGUUCUGACGUGCAAAUCGAUCGUCAAAUUUUGGUAUAGGGCGANAAGACCAGCUCUAAAUGGGUGGUAAAUUCCAUCUAAAGCUAAAUAUUGGCAAGAGACCGAUAGCGCACAAGUAGAGUGAUCGAAAGAUGAAAAGAACUCUGAACAGAGAGUUAAAGAGUACGUGAAAUUGUUGAAAGGGAAGCACUUGUGACCAGACAAAUUUGCAAUUAAUCAGCCCUCAAUUUUGGUGGUGCACUUGAUUGCAAGUGGGUCAGCAUCAGUUAUAGUAGUGGGAUAAAGACCUAAAGAAUGUGGCUCCUCUUUUGAGGAGUGUUAUAGCUUUUGGUUUAAUACUGCUUGCUUAUGACUGAGGAUAGCACUUUGAGUAAGGAUGCUGACAUAAUGGUCAUAAGUGACCCGUCUUGAAACACGGACCAAGGAGUCUAACAUCUAUGCGAGUAUUUGGGUUCAAGCCC